AAGGUGGGGAGUGACGUCAAGUCCUCAUGGCCUUUAUGUCUAGGGCUACACACGUGCUACAAUAGGGUGGUACAAAGAAGCAGCUAACUCGCGAGAGUAUGCAAAUCUCAAAAAGCCAUCCUCAGUUCGGAUUGGAGUCUGCAACUCGACUCCAUGAAGUUGGAAUCGCUAGUAAUCGCGGAUCAGCAUGCCGCGGUGAAUACGUUCCCGGGCCUU
This 216-nucleotide ribosomal RNA is filed under the name uncultured Smithella sp. RNAcentral describes it as "partial 16S ribosomal RNA". It matches the Rfam family "Bacterial small subunit ribosomal RNA", at positions 1170 to 1382 of the family's 1533-position model. The record is from RNAcentral. Lineage: Bacteria; Pseudomonadati; Thermodesulfobacteriota; Syntrophia; Syntrophales; Smithellaceae.